GAUGAACGCUGGCGGCGUGCCUAAUACAUGCAAGUCGAGCGAACGGACGAGGAGCUUGCUUCUCUGAUGUUAGCGGCGGACGGGUGAGUAACACGUGGAUAACCUACCUAUAAGACUGGGAUAACUUCGGGAAACCGGAGCUAAUACCGGAUAAUAUUUUGAACCGCAUGGUUCAAAAGUGAAAGACGGUCUUGCUGUCACUUAUAGAUGGAUCUGCGCUGCAUUAGCUAGUUGGUAAGGUAACGGCUUACCAAGGCAACGAUGCAUAGCCGACCUGAGAGGAUGAUCGGCCACACUGGAACUGAGACACGGUCCAGACUCCUACGGGAGGCAGCAGUAGGGAAUCUGCCGCAAUGGGCGAAAGCCUGACGGAGCAACGCCGCGUGAGUGAUGAAGGUCUUCGGAUCGUAAAACUCUGUUAUUAGGGAAGAACAUAUGUGUAAGUAAAUGUGCACAUAUUGACGGUACCUAAUCAGAAAGCCACGGCUAACUACGUG
This 497-nucleotide ribosomal RNA is filed under the name uncultured bacterium. RNAcentral describes it as "partial 16S ribosomal RNA". It matches the Rfam family "Bacterial small subunit ribosomal RNA", at positions 28 to 507 of the family's 1533-position model. The record is from RNAcentral.